This is a long non-coding RNA of Pangasianodon hypophthalmus (striped catfish), 3858 nucleotides long. RefSeq lists it as uncharacterized. The record is from RefSeq and is a predicted model, not a curated record. The transcript is spliced from 2 exons. NCBI's taxonomy places the organism in Eukaryota, Metazoa, Chordata, Actinopteri, Siluriformes, Pangasiidae.
UCUGACUACACCCUGCAUCAACUGAGGGCUACAAACACCAUGACACAAAAAACACCAUGUUUCGUCUCAUUUAUGCAAAGGCAGGGAAGAUCCUGGCCAGACACUGCAAUAGACAGGAGGUUGUUUAGACACUGACAAGCCUUUCUGCUCAAACCCAUCUUUCAGAGAAUAUAAAAAAGCUUUAUUUGUUCUUGUCAUUCUGUUUUAAGUGCAUUCAUGAGGUUUGGACCAUAAAAAUGCUUUUACACUACACAUAAGCCAAAACUGCUCUUGCUGCUUGUAACACUUCCAUUUGGUUUAAGUCUUGUUAAUUGUUUGAUACAAAAAAAGCCCUGUAAAGUUCAGCCAUUUAAACAGUACUGCCUGUCGAGCUGAGGACUGCUGAGAGCACUUCCACAUGCAGCUUGUGCCCUCUAGUGAAGCCCAGAAACACAGUCAGUCUCUUUAAAAAACAGGGAUCAUGUGCAGGGUACUGGGCAGGGCAGUUUGCAGGUAAACAAGAGGAAAUCAUAUGCAGCAGUGAGAGCAGGCUGGGGUGAGAGUCCACACCGCACUGUCGCACCAGCAGGAUAUGCGCGCUCACAUCUGAUUAAUGCAGGAGUGGAGAGAGGCGCGAACAAAGCUAAACAAGCAUUUUUCAUUCCUUAAUUAUCUGAAUAUGUGACAUGGGGAGAGUGGAGAGGAGGGCGACUCAGAACAACGGGGGAUUCACACAGUGAGUGUGACAGCACUGUAAUAACCUCAAUUAUUCAGAAUUAGGCCUGUAUUGAUUUACUGUUGGAUCGGCUUACUUACUGCAUCUCAGAUGCUGAAGUGGGAGGGAGAAGGGAACAGUCGACACUUCUGUCCCCAGGAAGAGUGACAGGGAAAGAGGACAUGGAAGAGUAGGAGAAGGAUGGGAAGCUGGAACAGAAGGCAAGGGAUCCUGGGAUGAAGAUAUGCUAAAAGAGAGCCUCUUCAUCAACCAUGUGAUGGUUGCAAGUUGAAAAGAAAUGGAUUGGGCGGUUUCAGAAGAAAGAAGUUCUGAGAAGCCUUCAAAUCGAUGCCUCUGGAGAGAAACUGAACCUAAGAGGAACUUUCAUACCAGACCCAUAGAAAAAAAAAAAAAAACAGCAUUACACAGAAUAAAAAAAAAAAAAAAACAGCUCAUCAUUUUCUAUGGGUGCAUGUGCACCUGCUGUGAAGCUGAGAGCCUGCCAUGCUCCAGUGGGUUUUCAUUCUGAAGAGUUUGAGUAUUCCCCCCCCCCUCAUUGUUAUAUCUUACAAUCGUUUGGCCGCAAGUAAACCUGUCCAUCUCAGUGAUAGUAAGACCUACGGACCAAGAUAUAUGCCGCUUCUCUACGUCCCUGGUCUUCCACACCUGAUUCACUUUACAGUUUUUACUGUGAUGUAUUUCAUGAGAUGAUAUGUAAGUCUAGGAAAAACACUCUCGUGCAGAGUACUGUGGAGUUUCUCAGAUUAAACUCCAAAAGUAGUACACAAGUAAUAUAAUAAUACAAGAAACAGCACAGUACAGUUAUAGAAGUGAAGUAGUCUAAACGUGGCAUGUAUUCUUCUCAUUAAGGAAUGUCGCUACAGGUCAAAACAACAAACUUCAUGUUUGGACAAACUGCAUGAAUUACAUGUCUUCUCCUAAGCUGCUGUAAUAAAAUUGUCAAAAUGCAACAAAUAGUUCACUUAUGUUAACAUUAUCUUAUUAACUUAAAUAUCGUUAAAGGCCUUAAACUCCGCCCACUCAGCACAAAUAUGUCAUGUCAUAUAGCCCUAAGAAGCUUGUUUCCUGAUAUGUCAAUUUAUGUGUCAUUAGUAUACACAUGUCAUUUUCCUUUAGAAAACAUAUAAACCACACUUACUAGAAUGGAAACACAUGAAGCCAUAGCAUAACCAAAAACUGAAGCGUAUUGUCAUGUUUUUAGAUGACUUUGAUAAAAAUUCUCUCACAAAUCAGAUCUCAAUCCAAACUGGGUAGGAGAUCCGGAAAGCCUUUUCAGGACCAUCUUGCACAUGUGUAACUCAGUAAAAACAGAACUAACGAGAUUUCUGAGGGCCAGUGUCAGCCUGUAUUCUCGGUUGGAGUCGAGCUUUAACACAAGGCAGGGAAGCACUCAUAAUGGUGGACUGAAUAAGAGUCUCACCCUGAGAAACAUUUUCUGGCACACUUAAGGCUUGUUUUUGAGCGUGGCUGGACUAGAAUGGAGACUGGUUCAUUAAGCCUUAUGACUUCCUCUCUUGCUCGCUCCCUCUCUUCCAGUAAGUAAGAGUGUUUUUUUUUUUUUUUUCUUUGAAGCUUGCACAACAGGCAAAGUUGAUGAUUUUAUUAAUUCUUUUUUAUUUUAUAAGUACAAUAGAAGUUGUAAAACUGGGUAGGCUCACUGGGUAUCCUGGAUCAUCUGAAUACCAAAGCAGUAAUCGUGAAAACCAAUCCUAAAACCACAAGGCUCUUGGCUGCAAAAAAAGUUUGGAUCAAGUUCUCGAGUCUUGUAUUACACGCCAGCAGCUAAUGUUUUAAGGAAAUGCUUUGGCAUUCAUUCUCUGUUAUUGCCACAAUUAUGAUAACAGUGGACUAAAUCUAUGAAGUGUGGGUAGACAGAUUUAGGUAAGAUAACUGUCAGAUUAGAAAUCAUACACACUAUUUCUCUUCAUUUUGCAUCUCCAAAGCUCGAGCCAAAGCCAGGUCCACUUAAUGAUGGAUUACUGUCCAGCAGCUGCCCUAUGCCUCCUGACAUUUAUGAUAUAAGCAAACCUUUACUUUAUGUGGUCCACUGCUUGGAGGAACUACUAAUGGGGGUACGGGAUUGCUGGCCCAGGUUUGUGGUGUAUCCCAAGGGAGGCAUAGGACCCCUUUUAAUUGGGGCGGCUGACUAAAUAAAUUGGAAGAUUAUGACCUAUAAAUGAAAAUUUAUGUGCCCAUUAUACGUGCCGCUGAUCUGCUCAGAAAUGGUAACACACUCGUUAGCUACAAUUCGUCUGCCAUGCCAUCAUUUCCUAAUUAGCACUGAUGCUGGCAGGGCUUUACUCAGCAUGCAUACAUGUUUCUGAUGGUUCUGUUUUUCCUCCCAAUUAAAUGGUUCCAUUUUAGGGGCAUGUCAUGCCUUGCUGGAAAACAAACCCAGACCCAAAAAUAAACUUGGUAGAGGGGUUCUACAUCAAUUAAAAGAAGUCCACAGGAGUCUUGUUUUUAAUAAAAGCACUCUGAUAUGCUUUAAUAAAAGAUGAGGCUGGGGCAAAUGUAAAUUGCCGGUUCACCCAGCUUUUCAAAUAUCAUAGUGAUAUCAAGGCUAAAGAUUCACCUGAUGGGAGUUUCGGAGAAAGAAAGUACAGCUGAGAGGCCACCAAAUAAUAAAGAGAACCUAAUCAGGGGUUGUUCCCCAUGUUUUCACCUUUCUGUGUAAAUUCAUCUAUGAUUUAUUAGAGGGAAUGAUAGAAAGAGCCCUGUGAGCUCCACUGUCCUUCAGCAGGGGAAAAAAAUGGUCAAUGGUGGCACACAAAGGGGAACAAAGCAGCCAAAGAGCAUUGCUACACAAAAAAGAGCGUUCUCUUCAAUUUCCUGCCAAAACGGGAGACUGGAAUUAUUCUCCUGCUGCCUUUGUGUCUCUCCUGCACUCCUUCUCUCUGUUUCGGACAAACAAAGCUGGCUGUAUUUGUUCUCAUGAGGGAGGCUCUUUAGCGGCCCAUCAGGCAGCAGGGAGCCCACAGGAAAACGGCACAGCAGCAGGAGAGGGUCGGUCUGCUAGAUGCACUUCACAACUACCUCACAACCACACAGACACACACAAUUACUGCUUUCUCUCUCCCACACCAGCACACAUACACAUAUUGAAUGUGCUCCAAAAAAAAAAAAAAAAAAAAAGCGGCAAC